GAUGCCUCCGCGGCUUGCCGAGCCCUCCGUGUGUAAACGCGGCGAGGAGGAGGAGCGCGGCCCAGGAGCGGCCCGUCAAUCACAGCCACCCAGGCUUCUCGCCACGCCCCUUUCCACGCCUCUUGCCGAUUUCCUGGUCCCUCGAAGGAGUCAACUCCAGCCACUAGGGGGAGCGGGACCGGCUUGUAAGAGUCAUUAAUACUGGACUGGAGAGAUGGCUCAACCAUUAAAGGCUAGGCACCCAACCCCAAAUGAGAUUCCUGAAUGCUGUUAGGCGGUAGGAACCCUAUUCCAAACCAGUCAGGGUUCCGGAUUCCCUUCUGAUCACUAGAACCCCUCCAGGCGAAAGCAUUUAUUCAUCUUCUAUGUUAAGCAUUCAAAUGCAACUUCUGCAAGGAUGUAAGCCCGGGAGAAAAACAAUGUUGUUUGUUUUACAGAAGCUUGACGAUGCUUAUGUUGUUUUCAGCAUACACAUAUCCAUGUACUAUGGGAUCUAAUGAAGAUGUCUACAAGAAGUAUACAUUAUGUCAAUGUAUACUUGUCAUAAUGGUUAUUCUCAAUGUCUCUAGGAUGUCAGUAUUUCCCACAAACCAGAUAGAAAUGAAAAUAUCCAACAGCAAAUCACACAUUUACAGUGGCUGUACAAGUGCUGGAAAGAAUCAACAAAUGGGAAAGAAUUGUUCCCAUUAGAGUCACUCCCAUGAAAAACACUCUGAUUUUUGUAAGAAUUUCAAUACCACAAGACUGCGGAGUCCACAAAAAGACCUUGGCUGACAGAGGCAAAGCACAGUUAGAGCAAUUGAAAGAAGCAACUAUGAAGCAUCUGAGCUGAGCAACUCAGAGCACCUAGUGGUAAUUAAUAAUGGUAUCAAAAAUGAAAUAAACCGGCAGUUUCUUGCACACAGGAGAUACUGUGAUAACAGCAAGUUAUUCCUCGUGAAUUCCCCUCUAAAUUUGGAUUGAUAUCUACGUGUCAUUUCCAGGGAAAUUCUGAUAGAAAAAGAAAAACAAAUCAAACUUUCAUUGAAUUUAGAUCCUGGGUUUUACUCUCGAUGAAAAGGAAUGCCACAGAGGUUCUCAACACAAGUUGUCUUAAAUACAAGAUAAUAAUAUGGGCAACAGCAUAGACCUACAUUAAUCAUAGUAGAGUCAAGAAACCUAACAUAGAGGUGGAUCCAGUGUGAGAAUUAGAAUCUCCUAGUCCUAUGCCAUUGACCAUUAUUUCAAAGGCAAUAUGUCAAAUAGAUAGCAAUGUCUGUGAAUAAUGCAUUAUGUAGCCCUAGAUACAGAAAUUCACUGACAUACUUUAGGAAUGAAUGCAUUAGGCAUUUACUUUAUUUCCUAUUUUUGAACUGUUUAUAUCAUUUAUGUAACUAGAAAAGUAAGUAAUUGUGACAAGUAAUAGAAAUUAGUUGUCAUAAAACUUCCAUUUAGUUAAAAUAUUUUUAUAAAGAUGAAUUUAAAAUAAGAACAGUGUUCACCUAGAUUUUUUUUAUAAUUUCUUUGGUGGUGGUGGUACAACUGUUAACUUCAGUAGUAUUGUCAACUUCACUUAUUUCAGACUUGUCUUCUUACUUUUCAUUCAUUAAAGUAAAACCUUAAAUAACUACUACUGUGCCCUGUCUGCAAACAUUAAAAUCAGGGUGCAUGUGCUGUCUUUGGAGCAUAUGCCUGCCAAGAAUGCAUGAAACAUUUAUUAGCCUCACCACAGAUAGAGGUGUCCUUGUUUACAUAUUUGCAAAUUUGUAAUGCAUGCCUGGAACCAGAUUGCAAAAAAUGGUAAUGCCUAUGCAAGUACCUUGAUUAAUUUCAAAUCUUCAGUAGACACUUGUGAAUACUUACCUCAUGUGGUAAUGUUAGUCCAUGACUAUUUGUCAUUUAUGAUAAUUUAUACUGAUCAUAUGUUCGAGGGAUGAAUGCUAAAUAAAGUUAUUGAUCAUAAUAUAAUUCACUAUGGAAAAGUUAAUAAACUGUGUUUCAAGAGCCAGUAGCAACUUGACAGAUAGUCCUGAAAUAUCCUGUCUUCAUUUUCACCCAUUCCUCAGCCAUGCUG
Molecule: long non-coding RNA, 2053 nt
Organism: Mesocricetus auratus (golden hamster)
Lineage: Eukaryota; Metazoa; Chordata; Mammalia; Rodentia; Cricetidae
Exons: 3
Source: RefSeq, a predicted model, not a curated record